Molecule: non-coding RNA, 148 nt
Filed under: Gorilla gorilla gorilla (western lowland gorilla)
Lineage: Eukaryota; Metazoa; Chordata; Mammalia; Primates; Hominidae
Also listed under: 1 other name
Source: Rfam by way of RNAcentral
GCUGGGCAUGGUGGCGCAUGCCUGUAAUCCCAGCUACUCAGGAGGCUGAGGCAGGAGAAUUGCUUGAAUUCAGGAGGUGGAGGUUGCAGUGAGACAAGAUCGCACCACUGCACUCCAGUCUGGGCAACACAGUGAGAUCCUGUCUCAA